UACAGAGGGCUCAAGCGUUGUUCGGAUUCAUUGGGCGUAAAGGGUGCGUAGGUGGCAGGGUAAGUCGGAUGUGAAAUCCCGGGGCUCAACCUCGGAACUGCAUUCGAUACUGCUUUGCUGGAGUACUGGAGAGGAGAUUGGAAUUUACGGUGUAGCAGUGAAAUGCGUAGAUAUCGUAAGGAAGACCAGUGGCGAAGGCGGAUCUCUGGACAGUUACUGACACUGAGGCACGAAGGCCAGGGGAGCAAACGGG
Molecule: ribosomal RNA, 253 nt
Filed under: uncultured bacterium
Lineage: Bacteria
Description: partial 16S ribosomal RNA
Rfam family: Bacterial small subunit ribosomal RNA
Source: RNAcentral